RNAcentral lists this ribosomal RNA (484 nucleotides) under uncultured bacterium. Its description in RNAcentral is "partial 16S ribosomal RNA". It matches the Rfam family "Bacterial small subunit ribosomal RNA", at positions 30 to 507 of the family's 1533-position model. The record is from RNAcentral.
AUUGAACGCUGGCGGCAGGCCUAACACAUGCAAGUCGAGCGGAUGAAGGGAGCUUGCUCCUGGAUUCAGCGGCGGACGGGUGAGUAAUGCCUAGGAAUCUGCCUGGUAGUGGGGUAUAACGUCCGGAAACGGGCGCUAAUACCGCAUACGUCCUGAGGGAGAAAGUGGGGGAUCUUCGGACCUCACGCUCUCAGAUGAGCCUAGGUCGGAUUAGCUAGUUGGUGGGGUAAAGGCCUACCAAGGCGACGAUCCGUAACUGGUCUGAGAGGAUGAUCAGUCACACUGGAACUGAGACACGGUCCAGACUCCUACGGGAGGCAGCAGUGGGGAAUAUUGGACAAUGGGCGAAAGCCUGAUCCAGCCAUGCCGCGUGUGUGAAGAAGGUCUUCGGAUUGUAAAGCACUUUAAGUUGGGAGGAAGGGCAGUAAGUUAAUACCUUGCUGUUUUGACGUUACCAACAGAAUAAGCACCGGCUAACUUCGUG